GUGGGUGUGUGCCGGCCUCCGGCCCGGCCGGGCCCGGCUCCUUCCCUCGCGGGGUGGCAGCCCCGCGGCGGGAGCCGGUGCUGGCUCGCUCGUUAAAAGCCGUGAAGUUUGAAGUCAUGGCUGGAAAACCAAAACUUUACUACUUUGAUGGAAGAGGCAAGACGAAGUCAGUUUGUUGGUUGUUAGCUGCAGUUGGCGUUGAGUUUGAAAAAGAGUUUUUGGAAACCCAAGAACAGUAUGAGAAGCUCCUGUAAGGUGGAUGCCUGCUGUUUCAGCAAGUGCCCAUGGUGGUUGAUGGGGGUGAAGAUGGUGCAGACUAGAGCCGUCCUCAGCUACAUAGCAGCGAAGUACAACCUCUACAGGAAGGACGUGAGGGAGAGAGCCCUGUACUGUAACAGUAUUACUCUUCUUGAAUUUAUUAUAGUAGCUUAGAUACAUCUAGAAUUAAUUGUGUACUUGCACACCCAGAGAAUCACCUGUGUGCCUCAGUGACACAAUUUGCAGUGAGCAUGACAGGCCAGUUAGACACAAGCCAACUGAUUUGUUCCAAAUUAAUUAUUUUUACACAAAAAUAUUUGAGGCAGAGGUUUAUUGAGCUUUAGUAAAAGAUUAAUACACAUAUUCAAGAGGUGACUGGCAUGUAAAUGUUAAACUACUUCUGUAAACAGAAAACUUUCUGGAAAGCAAUGGUUAGUUUUUAACUUUUCGCUGCAAAAUAAGAUCUGCCAUUGAUGUUAUCUGUGAUUGCAUGGUGUUCCACAGCCCUGCAAAAAGUGCAUGGUUUAGAAGCUGGGGGAAGAACAACUAAAAGCUGUUGGAAAAUUUCUGGUUUCAUGUGAAAUUAAAUCCAAGUCUUAAUGUUGUGUCUGUGUCAAGGGGAAAAAAUGUGAUUGGGCUAUCUCAAUACAUAGCCUUUAAAUGUCCGUUUCCUAUAGUUUUUCAAAAGAAGGAAAACUAAUCGUCAGCUAGUGAAGUAUCUGACUUUAACGGUUACUUUACAAUAACCUGCUUUUAAAUGGUGCAAAUGAUUGGAAGAAUCGGUUGAAGCGGGUUCAAGGAAGAAAAAGUAUCAGCAUGCAUACUGGGAAUGAAUAAACAAGAUACAUUUGCAUUUACUGUAGCUAAAUUCCCUUUCCCUAAAUUCCCACUGAGGGGAGAAGCAGGAACUCAGAGGAGGAGGAGCUGAAGGACAUAGUGAAUAAUCAACCAUAUACCAUCUCCCAAUGUGGCACUGGCAUCCAAGAAAGUUAAUGUAACUUUGACGUCCAAUGGAAAUUUCGAAAUAGCAUAGUUGUAUAACUCAGCGUCCAGCUCUGACAUUGACCCAUGAAGUACCUAGCUAUAGGCAUCACUUCUAAUGCAGAACUGGGGACAAUUUUCUGGUUAUGCUGCAGGUUGCAAUUCAUUUAUGUUGCUUGCCCUACAACUACUACUAUUUCAGACCAAUUUCUACACUGCAGCAGAACCAUUGGAUCUCAGGCCUGGAAACAUCAUCCAAGAGAAGAUGGAAUGGAAACGUUAUCCUUUCUGGCAAGAGAAAAAUAUCUUCACCUCUUUCAGCCUUAAAUGCUAUAGCUUAGCACAUAUGAUCCCAACUGUGCUAGCAUACUUGGAUAAACAUUAGUUUAAGCAUAGAUCAUGCCCCUGCUUGCUUUUUCAAGCAAGGAAGUAACUACUUGAUUUAAUUCUUGCUAUUAUUCAGCAGAUAGUUUUGCUGUAGGAGAACUUUACUCAAGGGGUGAUCUAGCAGACAACUGUUUGUUCUGGAUUCCUCUGAAAACUUGCUUUGAACAAUUAUUUCUGAGAAAGUUUCUCUAAGAAGGGGUUGCACAGAGACAGCUUUGAAAUGAACAGCAUUAACUCUCACACUUUGCAGAGUAUCUCAUUCUAAGUUUAAGUUCUCACAAAGUAGGCACGCACAACAAAACAAUGGUGUAACAGGAGUAUCUUAACCUCAAUCAAACAAGCACAGUGUUUAUUUUUCUUGGGCCAUGUAGAAGAAUGAAGCUGGGUUAAUUAGCAUUGAUAAUAUACAACUGUGGGCUGGUUUCAGGGGUGGUGGGUUGGCCGAUGGAGAUAAGGUGCAGCUGUGGCUGGUUAAGUGAAGUGGUUGGGAGCCAAUGAAGAGGGAGCAGCUGAGGGAGAAGUAGAGAGAGGAAGAAUUAAGAGAAAAGAGAGUGUCCUCUGGAUGAGGCUAUAUGAGGAGAAGGCUGCAGAGGGGCUGGAUGGAGAGUGUGCUGGUAUGAGAUGGGGAAAGACCUUGUUGCUGCUUGAUAGUUUGGAGAGUGCUGUGACAGGGCCAUGGUACUUUCUUGCUAAUAGCAAUAGGCGCUAAUAUGAAGCAGUGCAGGGUUGAGGCUAGAGAACGUACAUCUCCAGGAUCCAGAGGUCAUCUUUGUCCUACAAAAGGGAUGGAGUUAGACUUCACUAGUUAUAUAGUGUCCUGGUUCCCCUUGAAGCAAGAGGGAUGCCUCUUCAAGCCAGACUACUGAAGACCAGUGUAUAGGUUUCAGUCCUAAAGACUGAUCUGUCUUUUCUGCUUUUUCCUGUGUAGAAGAUUAGGAGUCUCCACAUUCAGCAGUGAAACAUAGCCCCGUGAACGUUUUUCUAACAUGAAUGUAUUUACUGUAUUUUACUUAUUACAACUUCAUUAUCUUGUAUGUAAAGACUGUUCACUGUUUCAAUAUGGUUCUCAAGCACAUCAAAGCCUUCUUUUAAUAUUCCUGCUAUGGCAAAGGCAGUUCAGUUCUCUGUAUGCUUACAUUCAAUUUAACCUCCCACUGCGCAGACUGAUGAAAAGAGGCUUAUGUAUAAGUGAGAUGUUGCUUUUGUGGAGUGAGCACCGAGCCUAUAGUCUCUAGUGCUGCUAACGAGCUGGGCAAGAUGAACCAGAUUCCUAUUCCAUUAUCAAACUUGCACUGAAAACCUCUCCUUGAGAACAAGUGAACAAAAGCAAGUGAAGAUUCGUAUCUGACCCAGCGCACAUAUGACUAACCAUGUAUCUUUCCCUCCACUUCUAAUGUAUCUUAUACCAUACCUACUGUUUCUUCUGAUCAUUUUUUAUUUGUAGUUUUUAUGGAAAUGUAGCAGCUAGUGUACAUAUGCAAUUUAUAAAACUGUCCAGGGAUGCAGAAAUAAACCUGAAAUGUAGGUUUAGGUCAUUAAUAUCUCCAUCAACUCUGUACUGGAGCAAAACUGUAAAAUGUUUUUUAAUUCUUGUAAGCCUUUUUCCUCUUGAAUCAAGCUACUUACCCAUCUUUCAUGUCUGUCAAACUUCUGUGGGUGGAAGUCCAGCAACUGAUUGAAGCUAUCCUGAUGUAGAAGAGAAAGUGCCCUCCAUUCCCUCAGAGUUGCCUUUUCUGUAAGUAAUUAAAUGAAAUAGUAAUAUACCCAUAUUCAUUGGAAGUUUUGAGGAAGAAAACUUAAAAUGCGCUCUUACGCAAUGCAGAAGUAAUAAAGUGAGCGUAGGGAAACACAGCCAACAAAGUAAAAUACGAAAGGAAGAAAAUGAAAAAGCAAAGCUGAGAAAUGCAUGUGAGCAGUGAAUUACAGUUCAAUUUGUUAAAAAAAAUGUUAGAUAAAAUUAUUAGAUAUUUCUUAUGCGUGAAGUCAAAGUAGGAGAGACAGAGAAGGACUCGUACUUCAGUGAAAACAAAAGUGUUUUAUAAUAGAAGAAAUAAAACCUAUUUCUCCCUGUCUAAGAUGUAUAAAUAAGUCUGGUUUUAUUUAAAAAAGGACCAAAACAAACAAAAAAUGUUUUACAGAAUAAGAGAUUAUAUUAAAUUUAUUCAAGGGAUCAAUUUAAAUAUUUUUUAUUGCAAACCCCCCUUUUUUACUGGGAAAAAACCCCAAAUUGUUGUCUAGCUAUAUAGUUGGUCAACAGCAGAUAAAAAUAGGACUGCAAUAUCUGCUUUGCUUCUUUACAUUCUCUUUUGAAAAUAAAAGGAUUAUUUAAACCUAAGCUUAGAUUAUUAUUAGUUGUAGUUGUAACAACACACAAACUGAGAGUCCUAGAAAGUUUCACAGCACACACCAGAGACCAAAUAGGGGAAACAUACACAAGUUUCUAUCAAAAGAUGAAGUCAUUUUGAGUUAUUUAAGAAGAAUAUUUCACAAUGAAAUUUGUACUAAGUACAACUGUUUUCCAGUUGGCUUUGAAGCCUUGAUAUUGCCUGUCUUGCACCUAUAUAAAUCAUUCUUUUGACCGUGUUGAGAUAUUUAUAUUUAUAUCAAUAAUGACUAGACAAUCCAAAUAACGUUCUGUAAACAGACACUCCAUUUAAGCUCUCCCUGCCAGCAGCACAAUGGGUGUAAAUCAGAAUUAGGAUUACAGUGUUCAGACUUCUCUGUGCCAGUGGUGCAGGUAAGUGCCAAACAGCUCACAGAAAUACGUGCGAGGGUCAAUACAAGCUUGGUUAACUUUGUCCUUGGGUGUAAAGUAAACCAGUAAAGCUUCCAGGACAGAAACAGAGCAGUUGCUGAAGUUUUGCAGCAAGUCUAGGUUUGAGUGAUGCAUG
Molecule: long non-coding RNA, 4517 nt
Organism: Falco peregrinus (peregrine falcon)
Lineage: Eukaryota; Metazoa; Chordata; Aves; Falconiformes; Falconidae
Exons: 4
Source: RefSeq, a predicted model, not a curated record